CUUGCUACAUUAAAACCACAUUAAUUUGUAUUGAAAAAAAUGUAUCAUUGGGAAUACGCCUGACAUUAUAUUAACCAGUACCUCUUGACUUACAGUACACUCUGUACAUUGUAAUGGGGGCCAAGUGCGAUUUCAGCGAGGAAAACAUGCUGCAAAUUAGGAGAUGGUGGUGUCUCACUCUCCUGCAGAACUUCCCCAUGCCGUCUGAAGAAGACCGAUUGCAGGACAGGAAACGGCGACGAGUGGAAGGAGGGCUACAGACGCUGGGAAAUUGACAAACUGCAAACCGGGAACAGGGUUGGAAGGAUGGUGAAAAUAAAAAAAAUCAAUGAUGCAAA
Long non-coding RNA from Pleuronectes platessa (European plaice), 338 nucleotides. RefSeq lists it as uncharacterized. The record is from RefSeq and is a predicted model, not a curated record. Lineage: Eukaryota; Metazoa; Chordata; Actinopteri; Pleuronectiformes; Pleuronectidae. The transcript is spliced from 4 exons.